Molecule: ribosomal RNA, 253 nt
Filed under: uncultured bacterium
Lineage: Bacteria
Description: partial 16S ribosomal RNA
Rfam family: Bacterial small subunit ribosomal RNA
Source: RNAcentral
UACGUAGGGUGCAAGCGUUAAUCGGAAUUACUGGGCGUAAAGCGUGCGCAGGCGGCUAUGUAAGACAGGUGUGAAAUCCCCGGGCCUAACCUGGGAACUGCAUUUGUGACUGCAAGGCUGGAGUGCGGCAGAGGGGGAUGGAAUUCCGCGUGUAGCAUUGAAAUGCGUAGAUAUGCGGAGGAACACCGAUGGCGAAGGCAAUCCCCUGGGCCUGCACUGACGCUCAUGCACGAAAGCGUGGGGAGCAAACAGG